RNAcentral lists this ribosomal RNA (402 nucleotides) under uncultured bacterium. Its description in RNAcentral is "bacterial SSU rRNA". It matches the Rfam family "Bacterial small subunit ribosomal RNA", at positions 355 to 774 of the family's 1533-position model. The record is from RNAcentral.
UGGGGAAUAUUGGACAAUGGGCGCAAGCCUGAUCCAGCCAUGCCGCGUGAGUGAUGAAGGCCCUAGGGUUGUAAAGCUCUUUUGUGCGGGAAGAUAAUGACGGUACCGCAAGAAUAAGCCCCGGCUAACUUCGUGCCAGCAGCCGCGGUAAUACGAAGGGGGCUAGCGUUGCUCGGAAUCACUGGGCGUAAAGGGUGCGUAGGCGGGUCUUUAAGUCAGGGGUGAAAUCCUGGAGCUCAACUCCAGAACUGCCUUUGAUACUGAGGAUCUUGAGUUCGGGAGAGGUGAGUGGAACUGUGAGUGUAGAGGUGAAAUUCGUAGAUAUUCGCAAGAACACCAGUGGCGAAGGCGGCUCACUGGCCCGAUACUGACGCUGAGGCACGAAAGCGUGGGGAGUAAACA